AACAAAAACCCUUCACCCGUGAGGUGUUAUUACUUGAAUCCUCCAGAAGGGGAGCUCUGAACCAAACACAUCAUUCGAAAUAGAUUAUUUUACUCAUGAAAAUCAGCUGAUAAAUAGAGGGAGAGAUGAAUGCCAAGCCGUCUGGAACAAUUUAUUUACUUUAUUGUUCAUUGAUCAGUUAGGCCUCAUUACUAACUUACUGAAAGACUUGUUUGAAAUAUACAAACAGGGAGAAAUACAACUCAUACAGCAAUUUUUUCUGACGAUGUUUACCUGGUUCUUUCCCCUAAUUUGUGUUGAAUGAUCAUUGUGAAACAUGUAUUAUUUUUGUUCUUCAUUUGCAUUUUAAUCAACAGAAUUGGCUUAUUAAUCAUCAUAGCUGUACCUGGAAACAAAGCAUCAGCCAGACAUAUAUCAUUUUAUCACAAGACAGAACACAUAUAACACCUUAUUAUUAGACAGAUAACAUUUCUUAAAAUAAUCCAAAUAUAGACCUGAAAAUGAAAUGUUAUAAAAGGACAGAAAGCCUCACGUUAUUAAAAAACAAAAAAGUUAGGCCUACAAAUAUCAUGAACCAUACUAGACUUACUGCAUACGCACAAUAACAGAAAAUGUUAAUCUUUAUUCUAAAAUUACAUUAGAAAUUCUAUGAAUGUUUUUUUUUAAAUAUGUAAGUAUUAAAACAGAUAUGGAUGAUUAUAAAUCUUGAUAACCCGUUAAAAUAAGAAAUUAUAAAUAAAAUAAAAAUAUAUAAUGGUAAUAUGGUUUAAGUAACACACUAUCAAAUAAUGCAAAAAAACGUGUAAAUUAUCUGGGAUUCCUGCCCCGCAGGUCAUGUAGCAUCUCAACAAACAUUUGCCUUCUCAUUGAAUUAUGCAAAUAGGACUGUGGGUCUUUCUCCUCUCGCUAAGCCUUAUAAGUUGUCAAUUGUAGAACAGGACAUCUUCCUCCAGUUCAGCUUCAACGCAAACUAUGUUCUCUGUAACUUAACUGCUGCUGGUCCUGGCUGCUGGCUCUGGUGUGAACUGUGAACAGCUUACUCAGCCAGAGUCUCUUACUGUCCGACCUGGUCAACCUCUGACCAUCCGCUGUCAGGUCCCUUAUUCUGUUAGUAGCUACAUCACACAUUUGAUCAGACAACCUGAUGGAAGAGGACUGGAAUGGAUUGGAGGGAUUAGUACUGGUUGGAAAGGAGCGAAAGACUCCCUUAGUAGUCAAUUCAGUCUUGCCGUUGACGGCUCCGGUAACACAGUAACUUUGCAAGGGUAAAACAUGCAGCCUGGAGACUCAGCUGUGUAUUACUGUGCCAGAGACACACAGCAUUACAAACUGUUGUAAAGGUUGAACAAAAACCCUUCACCGUGAGGUGUUAUUACUUGAGUCCUCCAGAGGGGGAGCUCUGAACCAAACACAUCAUUCAAAAUAGAUAAUUUAACUCAUGAACAUCAGCUGAUAAAUAGAGGGAGAGAUGAAUGCCGAGCUCGCUGGAACCUUUUAUUUAGUUUUUUAUUUAUUGAUCGGACAGACCCACUGACUAAGUUGCCGACCAAGCUAUUUGAAACAUAUAAACAGGGAAAAAUGUAUUUUGUUAACAACUCAUGCAGAUAUGUUUGCUUGUUUCAUUAUCUUAAUUUGUGUUAAAUGAUUAUUAUGCUA
Gadus morhua (Atlantic cod) is the source of this 1656-nucleotide long non-coding RNA. RefSeq lists it as uncharacterized. NCBI's taxonomy places the organism in Eukaryota, Metazoa, Chordata, Actinopteri, Gadiformes, Gadidae. The record is from RefSeq and is a predicted model, not a curated record. The transcript has 2 exons.